UGAGGAAUAUUGGUCAAUGGGCGAGAGCCUGAACCAGCCAAGUAGCGUGCAGGAUGACGGCCCUAUGGGUUGUAAACUGCUUUUGUUUGGGAAUAAUCGACAUUACGUGUAAUGUUUUGCAUGUACCAUUCGAAUAAGGACCGGCUAAUUCCGUGCCAGCAGCCGCGGUAAUACGGAAGGUCCAGGCGUUAUCCGGAUUUAUUGGGUUUAAAGGGAGUGUAGGCGGUUGGUUAAGCGUGUUGUGAAAUGUAGAUGCUCAACAUCUGACUUGCAGCGCGAACUGGCUGACUUGAGUACGCACAGCGUAGGCGGAAUUCAUGGUGUAGCGGUGAAAUGCUUAGAUAUCAUGAAGAACUCCGAUUGCGAAGGCAGCUUACGGGAGUGUUACUGACGCUUACGCUCGAAGGUGCGGGUAUCGAACAGG
This 424-nucleotide ribosomal RNA is filed under the name Verrucomicrobiota bacterium. RNAcentral's name for it is "Verrucomicrobia bacterium partial 16S ribosomal RNA". It matches the Rfam family "Bacterial small subunit ribosomal RNA", at positions 355 to 776 of the family's 1533-position model. The record is from RNAcentral. Lineage: Bacteria; Pseudomonadati; Verrucomicrobiota.